This is a long non-coding RNA of Populus euphratica (Euphrates poplar), 5300 nucleotides long. RefSeq lists it as uncharacterized. The transcript is spliced from 2 exons. The record is from RefSeq and is a predicted model, not a curated record. Lineage: Eukaryota; Viridiplantae; Streptophyta; Magnoliopsida; Malpighiales; Salicaceae.
UAUAGUGCGACUUGUCAGAGACAUUGGGUCAUUAUGGGAUUUCCCCGUUCUCUACCCCGAUCGAGAUAUCCUCUGUUUCACCAAAGAAGGAUUGAUUAAAUCAUCCAAAAAUUAGAGCGUGAAGUGGCAAUAAAGUGCAAUUAGAUCUAUGCUUUGGAGGUAUUCAGAUUAAUAUUAUCAAUUAGAAUAAUUUAUGGUUAGCUUGUUUGGACCAAUAAAAUGAAGUAUCCAGGCUCCGCUUAGAAAAACCCAAUUAGUACUAUAUCCAUGAUUACUAUUUGUAUCAUAUUCUAUUUAUAAAUUUUAUAAAUUAGAAAUAGGAGUAAUUUAAAACUACUAAUCAUAAUCAAUCGAAUAAUUUGAUAAAUACGUCAAAUAUUUUGUGGAAGGCGUGAAAUGAAUUGAAAAAAAAAGGAAGUUGUAGCAAAAAGACACGGUAUUGGGGGCAUUUGCCCUAUAUGUGCAAAUCCAAAUCGGGCAGAUCUUUACUCGGAGUAGAGCACAAACCUAAAAGAAUUAAAGAAGCCCACUCAGGAACAAGAGAAUGUUAUCGUGAUUUGAAUUGGAUCCCGAUGAAAGAAUACAUCAAUGAGAAGUUAGUUUGAUAAGUUUAAUGAAUUUUUUUUAUUUAUAGGUAAACGGGUAAAAAAACCAUCUUUCUUGAAAAAUGGAGGAAAAACCCCUUCGUUAUUCGUUAAAUGGGAUCUACAUAUUGAUUCUUUUUUUUCGCGAUUUUUGAUGAACCGUAUGCAUCAAAAGGUGCAUGUACGGUUCCUAAGGGAUAGAAUUUGAUCCUAAUCAACCGACUUUAUCGAGAAAGAUUACUUUUUUUAGGUCAAGAUAUUGAGAGUGAGAUCUCGAAUCAACUUAUCGGUCUUAUGGUAUAUCUCAGUACAGAAAGUGAGAUCAAAGAUUUGUAUUUGUUUAUCAACUCUCCUGGCGGAUGGGUAAUACCCGGAAUAGCUAUUUAUGAUACUAUGCAAUUUGUGCGACCAGAUGUACAAACAGUAUGCAUGGGAUUAGCCGCUUCAAUGGGAUCUUUUAUCCUGGUCGGAGGAAAAAUUACCAAACGUCUAGCAUUCCCUCACGCUUGGGUAAUGAUCCAUCAACCUUUUGCUGCUUUUUAUGAAGCACAAAUAGGAGAAUUUGUCCUGGAAGCGGAAGAACUACUGAAACUACGCGAAAUCCUCACAAGGGUUUAUGCACAAAGAACAGGCAAACCCUUAUGGGUUGUAUCUGAAGACAUGGAAAGGGAUGUUUUUAUGUCAGCAGCAGAAGCCCAAGUUCAUGGAAUUGUUGAUCUUGUAGCAGUUGCAUAAAAAAUAGCAGGAAUUUCACACAAAUCGCGAUUUGAGAUUUUAGUUUCUUACCGAGGUUUCAUAUUCUAUUUUAAUAUUUUAUUAAAAUAGAAUAUGAAUAUAGAAAGAAUUCAUAAUCAUCCGGUUAGGAUCGAUCUAAACCAGCCCAUUAUGCAUACGAUUCAACAUGCCAACUAUUAAACAACUUAUUAGAAACACAAGACAGCCAAUCAGAAAUGUCACCAAAUCCCCCGCUCUCGGGGGAUGCCCUCAGCGCCGAGGGACAUGUACUAGGGUGUAUGUGCGACUCGUUCAGAUUUCAGAUUGUGGGUGGGGACAAAAGAAAGAAUUUUUCCACUAUCCGUGAUCAGUACCGAUGAAUAGGAUAGAAUGGAAGACUCCCCUUCACUAUCUAAAAUGAAAAAAAAAAGAUCUAGAAUAUGCUUCUAUUGUGUAUCAAAUUUAUGGUUUCUAUUGGUGCAAAUUCAAUUACCUCAAUUUUCAAUUGAAAAUGCGAAAGAAUUCCCCAUUGGUAGCAAAUGAUUAUCUGUUAAGCAGGGCAAAUCUUAUUUAAAUUAAAAAGCCGAAAAUGGAUGCCUCUACUCUUGCAAGAACGGACUAACAAGGUCAGCUAAUCAGCUAAUCCACAUAAUUAAAUACCGUUACUGUAAAAACGGAUCUCGUUGUGAAAGACCUACUACUGAGGAAUUCAUGGGUAGAGCCAAAAAGUGUAAACUGUACAAGUUAACAAUAGCAUUGAUUCGAUCAAGUAAGGGGCUCCGGUGUAUAGAGAGGACCUCGCCGUUUAAGAAAUAACCAUAGAAACGAUGGAACCCACUAUUUAUUUAUCCAUUUCUAUUUACUACUUAAUUACUACUUAUUUUUAUUUACUAUAUUUUUGUUAUUUUUGUUUGAUACCUAGUACCAAUAAGAUUUCUUAUUUCAAGGCGAAAUGCUUAUAAAAAAAAAAAAAGAAAAAAUAGUGGUUGGGAAGGUUAGAGUAGCAAAAGCCGUUGGAAUUAUUAUUUUAUACAUUGGAAGAAUCCGUUUUGUUAUUCUAGAAAAGGGAAAAAGAAUAACUGAAAGAAAGGAAAUCAAUUAGUUAUUUAUCAAAGUUUCGUUUAUUCAAUGACCAGAAUUAGACGAGGAUAUAUAGCUCGGAGGCGUAGAACAAAAAUUCGUUUAUUCACAUCAAGCUUUCGUGGGGCUCAUUCAAGACUUACUCGAACUAUUAUUCAACAAAAAAUAAAAGCUUUGUUUUCGGCCUAUCGGGAUAGAGAUAGGCACAAAAGAAAUUUUCGGUGUUUAUGGGUCACUCGUAUAAAUGCAGCAAUUCGCGAGAAUGCAGUAUCCUAUAGUUAUAGUACGUUAAUAAACAAUCUGUACAAGAGACAGUUGCUUCUUAAUCGUAAAAUACUUGCACAACUAGCUAUAUUAAAUAGGAAUUGCCUUUAUCUGAUUUCCAAUGACAUGAUAAAAUAAGGAGAUUGGAAGGAAUCCUUCGGAAUGUUUGACUUUGACAUGGAAUUACUUGGAAAAUGAAUUCCGGGAAGGUAGAAUAGAAAUAAGUAUGAUAAAAUAUGAUCAUAAUAUGAUCAAGUAGUCAAACUGAACAAAAACAUUCAAUAAAAAAAUAUUUAUUUUUUUAUUUACUUUACCCAAUUCGUUUUUUUUACGACACGACAAUCAAAUCUGUAUUCCUGGAUUUUUCUCGAACAAAACAUCAACCGACGUUUGAGUUCGGAUUGAAAUUUUGAUUCAAUUAAAGAGUAAGUCUAUUUUUUUCUGGUUCUAAGACCCGUAGUUCGAGCGACCAACUCGUUUUUUUUCAAAUUGUCUUUCAUUAUUAAGAAAGGGUAAUGAAGAUAAAAUACGAGCUUGUUUUAUAGCAAUGGUAAUUAAUCGUUGUUGUUUUAAAGUCAAUCUAUUCACCCGUCUAGAUAAUAUUUUUCCUUGUUCACUAAUAAAUCGACUAAUUAAACUCAUGUUUCUAUAAUCAAUUCGAUCCCCCGAUCCAAUCGGGGGCAGACGCCUACGAAGAGAUCGCUUGGGCUUAAGAAAAAGUCGCUUGGAUUUAUCCAUGGCUUGUUUAUUUUAUUCCUUUUUUCGAGAAUCCUAUUUCCUUUGAUCGGAUCAAAAAUGCUAAUGAUUUCGAAUUAAGAAAUAGGAUUUUGCUUAUUUCUAUUUAAAUAUAUAUAUUAACAUAUGAUAUGCUAAUAUAUGAUAUGUCAAUAUGUCAUUUUUCAUCUUCCUUGUAAAAGUCACACGCAGUUGAUCAAUUCCAUCUAUUUCUUUAUCUCCCCGUGAAUUGUAUGUUUGUAACAAUAGGGACAGAAUUUUCUCAACUCCAAUCGACUAGGCCUAUUGUGUCGAUUCUUUUGAGUAAUAUAUCUAGAAAUGCCUAUUUAUUUCUUAUUAACACUGUUUCGAACACAACUGGUACAUUCUAAAAUAACCCUUAUUCGGACGUCUUUACCAUUGGCCAUGAACCUCCUUUUGGUUUUUAUUCACUCAACUCUUCUAUUUUCCUAUCCGAAACGAAGAAGAAAAGAAGGAAAAAAUACAAGUUACUAACUCGAAAUCAAAUUAUGAAAGAUUUUGUUGCCGCCAAUAUAGUAAUAGUAAAAAUAAGUAAUACAAUGAUUAAAAAUUAUAUUUACAUUAGAAGUAUAUUUAGAUUAGAAGUUUAGAUUAGAAUAGAAGUACAGUCUUUCUAUUUUAUUUCAACUUCUUGUAUGAUACUGUUGCCCUAACCGCAUUUCCACUUCUGUUCUCUUAAUUUAAUAUUUAAUUAAAGAUUUAAUUAAAGUAAAUUUACUUGAAGUUUGAACCCAGUUCCGUGUUUGGCUGAGGUUGAAUCCACUUUUAUUCUUUCUCUUUUCUAACUUAUUCGAAUUAGAAAAAAGGGGGUAGUAGUCAGAGAUAUUUAAUUGUGUCUCUAAGUUUCUUCACCCCCCUGUGUUAAUAACUAGAAUGAAAAAAAAGGGAAUGUCAAAGCAUCCGGGAAAAAACGAUUGAUCUCUAUCAAUAGACCUGCUAAAGACCCGAACCAUAGAGUACUUAUUACUGGCGCUACGGAUAGAUAUGUUUUUAGAUCUCGCAUAAAAAAUCCUCCUUCUGUAUUCUUUAUUGUAAUACAUAACGGCAAUACAUAUAUGAUCAGAUGUAUAUAUGUAGUUAAAUUAAAGGACACUCGCAUUUGUUUUGUACGCGGAAUUCUUAAUUCAAAUUGAGAAAUGUACAAUAAUUUGAUAGAUAAGAUUUUCCUCUUCUUUUCUUAAAAGAACAAAAUACGUCUCUUUCCGUCUGGGCAUUCACGAAAUUUAUGGCGGGUUUCCUAUUUUUUUUUUCAUAUGUAUAUAAGUUUAUUAUUAUAUGUAUUAUAUGUUAUAUGAUAUGAGACAAAAAAAAAAAAGAAGAAAUGGCAAGAUAAGUUAUGUAUCUCAAUGGAGAAAAUGAAAUGAAAUAAGUAUGUGGAAAACAAGACAGGGAUUCUCUACAAUGACAUUGUAGACCAAUUGAAAGGGAUGUAGCGCAGCUUGGUAGCGCGUUUGUUUUGGGUACAAAAUGUCACGGGUUCAAAUCCUGUCAUCCCUACUUAUUACUUCGCCUCUGAGCAAUACAAUAACAAGGGAUCAAUUGAGAUCAAUUAAAAUUGGGCAUACCUAAUCAUAAAUUAAUAUGAUAUUAAAGAAUAUCAUAUUAUUAUUUAUUAUAUUUAUAUAUAAUAUAGUUUAUAUAUGAGAUAGUAUAGGCAUUCAAGAUGUAGUGGAGUAAAAAAAAAAGAAUCUUUUUACUUACAGCUUUCUUUUUUGUAAUAAAAAAGCGCUCUUAGUUCAGUUCGGUAGAACAUGGGUCUCCAAAACCCAAUGUCGUAGGUUCAAAUCCUACAGAGCGUGAUUCCAUUCUUGUUUUGUUAAGUCAAAAAUUUUAGGGAAAAGCUUGAACAUCAAUCUUAAUUUGACCUCCUGUGGAUAAAAAAAAGGAGGAGGUCAAAAAAAA